RNAcentral lists this ribosomal RNA (90 nucleotides) under Pseudomonas syringae pv. actinidiae ICMP 19072. RNAcentral also lists the same sequence under 3 other names. The record is from RNAcentral. Lineage: Bacteria; Pseudomonadati; Pseudomonadota; Gammaproteobacteria; Pseudomonadales; Pseudomonadaceae.
CAUUGGAACCACCUGAUCCCAUCCCGAACUCAGCAGUGAAACGAUGUAUCGCCGAUGGUAGUGUGGGGUUUCCCCAUGUGAGAGUAGGUC